Molecule: ribosomal RNA, 1023 nt
Filed under: uncultured bacterium
Lineage: Bacteria
Description: bacterial SSU rRNA
Rfam family: Bacterial small subunit ribosomal RNA
Source: RNAcentral
CCUACGGGAGGCAGCAGUGGGGAAUAUUGCGCAAUGGGCGAAAGCCUGACGCAGCGACGCCGCGUGGGGGAUGACGGCCUUCGGGUUGUAAACCUCUUUCAGCAGGGACGAAGCGCAAGUGACGGUACCUGCAGAAGAAGCACCGGCCAACUACGUGCCAGCAGCCGCGGUAAUACGUAGGGUGCAAGCGUUGUCCGGAAUUAUUGGGCGUAAAGAGCUCGUAGGCGGUUUGUUGCGUCGGCUGUGAAAUCCCGAGGCUCAACCUCGGGUCUGCAGUCGAUACGAGCAAACUAGAGUGUUGCAGGGGAGACUGGAAUUCCUGGUGUAGCGGUGAAAUGCGCAGAUAUCAGGAGGAACACCGGUGGCGAAGGCGGGUCUCUGGGCAACAACUGACGCUGAGGAGCGAAAGCGUGGGGAGCGAACAGGAUUAGAUACCCUGGUAGUCCACGCCGUAAACGUUGGGCGCUAGGUGUGGGGCUCAAUCCACGAGUUCCGUGCCGCAGCUAACGCAUUAAGCGCCCCGCCUGGGGAGUACGGCCGCAAGGCUAAAACUCAAAGGAAUUGACGGGGGCCCGCACAAGCGGCGGAGCAUGUUGCUUAAUUCGAUGCAACGCGAAGAACCUUACCUAGGCUUGACAUGCACGGAAAUCUCCCAGAGAUGGGGGGUCCGUAAGGGCCGUGCACAGGUGGUGCAUGGUUGUCGUCAGCUCGUGUCGUGAGAUGUUGGGUUAAGUCCCGCAACGAGCGCAACCCUCGUCCUAUGUUGCCAGCACGUGAUGGUGGGGACUCAUAGGAGACUGCCGGGGUCAACUCGGAGGAUGGUGGGGAUGACGUCAAAUCAUCAUGCCCCUUAUGUCUAGGGCUGCAAACAUGCUACAAUGGGCCGGUACAAAGGGCUGCGAUACCGCGAGGUGAGCUAAUCCCAAAAAGCCGGUCUCAGUUCGGAUUGGGGUCUGCACUCGACCCAUGAGUCGGAGUCGCUAGUAAUCGCAGAUCAGCACGCCGCGUGAAUACGUUUCCCGG